UACGCGUGUCGACGGCAUCGGGUGGAACGCGGUGGCACAUUCAUUCAUGAUAUUCGUGAAUGCACAUGUUGCGCGCUCGCGCUCACGUCAACAUCUAUAUAGACAAGCAUCCAGCUUAGGUCCGAACUGAGUCUUGUUCCAUCCUAGAACCGGUGCAGACGUGUGUGCAGUGCAAUAUUGGUGCCGAUUUUGUGUCGAUUAUGAUAGUGAUGAAGAGUGGAAGCGAAAAUUUCGGUGCAUGUGAUUCAUCGUCCUCGUCGCCAGUUGAAAAUUAGAACGUUCGGGUAAAUCCACGUGGAUCGUUGUUGUGUGGGCACUUGCGUUAAACGAAGGUCAAGGUUUUUCAGAUCCCGGAGACAUUGGUUUAUCUUAUCUGUCGAGGCAAAUAAAUCACUGGCUUCCGGUGAUCGGUCAUCGAAGGAGCCCUUGAACGCGAAAAUCAGUAAAAAAGUAUGUGAACAAGUCUAAGUGGGCGCUGAUUACGACAAAUGGUGAAAUAGGCAUACUGUGACCUUUCUAGUUGUAAGCAAACAAAGCCAGUGGGUAGUUUUCAAUCCGCGAGUGAUUCACGUCAAUUUCUUCGAAUCCAUCAGAGCUAACUUACGAUUACUGUUAGCCGUUAAAAACCAUGAAUCAUCCUCCACCGCACAUAACCGAUGGGGAUUUCGUCAGCCCAAUGGAAUACGAUGAUGAUAAACACGGUCGUAUGACGCAUCAACUGAUGGGCUGCUACACUGCAUUCGCACUGAAACUCCUAUUUGGCGUCUUGCUGUUAUCUCGCGACUUGAUCCAUAUCGCUCAUUUGUCGCAAACAGCUAACUUUCUCGCCUACUGUGAACGCCGAUUGAUUGUCAAGAGUUGUCGUAGUUUACGGAACCGAAUCGACCGCCGAUACCAGCACCAAUGGAUUUCGUCGUCGUCGAACGAGAGCAAACAAUAAAUAAUACUGCUCACUCAUGGACUUAUUUCGCCGAAUUGCAUCAUUCAACGUGCGCGCGAAUGACGUCAAUUCGUCGUCGUGGACAGGGAAGCCAUAAGCUAAUCACUACAAAGGGCAGUUGGGGAUUUCCGCUGGAAACUGCGAAGAACACUGCAUGUGUACUUUGCACAUUUCUCGAAAGAUCGUGGGGUUUUUGUUAUCAUCUGCGAAUAGUAAACUGGUUAUAGUUGCAUGCCAAACCAGAAACUGCUGCAUCAACUGGGAUUUCCAAUGACGUAUUCGUCAUGGUUGUGGAAUUUCCGGAAUUUUGUACCCGGCGAUGUCGAAAUUCUUCGUAGCUAGCAAUUUGUAGCAGCCACAACUAAAACGAAAACAAUGAAACCACAUCAAAGCAACCAAAGACAAUAAGAAAUGUAAUAUAAAUUUGCGAAAACAACAUCAACAACAAGAGCAAUCCACAAUAAAACAGGACAGGCACGGACACGUUUACAACCUGCAAGUCAUUCCAUAA
Long non-coding RNA from Ochlerotatus camptorhynchus, 1451 nucleotides. RefSeq lists it as uncharacterized. The record is from RefSeq and is a predicted model, not a curated record. The transcript has 2 exons. NCBI's taxonomy places the organism in Eukaryota, Metazoa, Arthropoda, Insecta, Diptera, Culicidae.